Molecule: ribosomal RNA, 367 nt
Filed under: uncultured archaeon
Lineage: Archaea
Description: bacterial SSU rRNA
Rfam family: Archaeal small subunit ribosomal RNA
Source: RNAcentral
ACUGGUGUCAGCCGCCGCGGUAAUACCAGCUCCCCGAGUGGUGGGGAUGAUUAUUGGGCCUGAAGCGUCCGUAGCCGGCUCGAUAAGUCUUCCGUUAAAUCCAACGAUCUAAUCGUUGGGCUCCGGGAGAUACUGUCGGGCUAGGGGACGGGAGAAGCCGACGGUAUUUCUAGGGUAGGGGUGAUAUCCUAUAAUCCUAGAAGGACCACCAGUGGCGAAGGCGGUCGGCUAGAACGCGCCCGACGGUGAGGGACGAAAGCUGGGGGAGCGAACCGGAUUAGAUACCCUGGUAGUCCCAGCUGUAAACGAUGCAGGCUGGGUGUUGGAUUGGCUACGAGCCAAUCCGGUGCCGCAGGGAAGCUCAUAA